RNAcentral lists this ribosomal RNA (465 nucleotides) under Vreelandella stevensii. RNAcentral's name for it is "partial 16S ribosomal RNA". It matches the Rfam family "Bacterial small subunit ribosomal RNA", at positions 338 to 795 of the family's 1533-position model. The record is from RNAcentral. Lineage: Bacteria; Pseudomonadati; Pseudomonadota; Gammaproteobacteria; Oceanospirillales; Halomonadaceae.
CCUACGGGGGGCAGCAGUGGGGAAUAUUGGACAAUGGGGGGAACCCUGAUCCAGCCAUGCCGCGUGUGUGAAGAAGGCCCUCGGGUUGUAAAGCACUUUUAGUGAGGAAGAACGCCUGGUGGUUAAUACCCAUCAGUAAAGACAUCACUCACAGAAGAAGCACCGGCUAACUCCGUGCCAGCAGCCGCGGUAAUACGGAGGGUGCGAGCGUUAAUCGGAAUUACUGGGCGUAAAGCGCGCGUAGGUGGCUUGAUAAGCCGGUUGUGAAAGCCCCGGGCUCAACCUGGGAACGGCAUCCGGAACUGUCAAGCUAGAGUGCAGGAGAGGAAGGUAGAAUUCCCGGUGUAGCGGUGAAAUGCGUAGAGAUCGGGAGGAAUACCAGUGGCGAAGGCGGCCUUCUGGACUGACACUGACACUGAGGUGCGAAAGCGUGGGUAGCAAACAGGAUUAGAUACCCUAGUAGUC